Molecule: transfer RNA, 73 nt
Filed under: Patescibacteria group bacterium
Lineage: Bacteria
Also listed under: 1 other name
Description: Patescibacteria bacterium tRNA
Rfam family: tRNA
About the family: Transfer RNA (tRNA) molecules are approximately 80 nucleotides in length. Their secondary structure includes four short double-helical elements and three loops (D, anti-codon, and T loops).
Source: Rfam by way of RNAcentral
GGCCCUAUCGUCUAGUGGUCUAGGACAUCACAUUCUCAAUGUGGUAACCCGGGUUCGAGUCCCGGUAGGGUCA